Molecule: ribosomal RNA, 446 nt
Filed under: uncultured bacterium
Lineage: Bacteria
Description: bacterial SSU rRNA
Rfam family: Bacterial small subunit ribosomal RNA
Source: RNAcentral
UGAGGGAAUAUUUGGGGUCAAUGGACGAAAGUCUGAACCAGCCGUGCCGCGUGAAGGAAUAAGGCCCUAUGGGUCGUAAACUUCUUUUGUAUGUGAGCAAUAAGGUCCACGUGUGGACCGGUGAGAGUAGCAUACGAAUAAGCAUCGGCUAACUCCGUGCCAGCAGCCGCGGUAAUACGGAGGAUGCAAGCGUUAUCCGGAUUCAUUGGGUUUAAAGGGUGCGCAGGCGGGCGUCUAAGUCAGCGGUGAAAGUUCCCGGCUCAACCGGGUCAGUGCCGAUGAUACUGGGGGCCUUGAAUGCGGUCGAGGCCGGCGGAAUGUGGCGUGUAGCGGUGAAAUGCAUAGAUAUGCCACAGAACACCGAUAGCGAAGGCAGCUGGCCGGGCCUGCAUUGACGCUGAGGCACGAAAGCGUGGGGAUCGAACAGGAUUAGAUACCCUGGUAGU